GGGGGAUUAGCUCAACUGGUAGAGCGCUGGCUUUGCAAGCCAGAGGUCGCGGGUUCGAGGCCCGCAUCCUCCACCA
Molecule: transfer RNA, 76 nt
Filed under: Gemmatimonadales bacterium
Lineage: Bacteria; Pseudomonadati; Gemmatimonadota; Gemmatimonadia; Gemmatimonadales
Description: tRNA-Ala
Rfam family: tRNA
About the family: Transfer RNA (tRNA) molecules are approximately 80 nucleotides in length. Their secondary structure includes four short double-helical elements and three loops (D, anti-codon, and T loops).
Source: RNAcentral